RNAcentral lists this long non-coding RNA (1073 nucleotides) under Callithrix jacchus (white-tufted-ear marmoset). RNAcentral's name for it is "lncRNA (ENSCJAG00000085769.1)". Lineage: Eukaryota; Metazoa; Chordata; Mammalia; Primates; Cebidae. The record is from RNAcentral.
CACCAGGCGGAGGUUCUGCCUGGCGUCCCGCGUCUCCUCUUCACUUGGGAAUUUCCCCGUUCCGUGGGCAACAAAGAUCAGUCUGGAAAUGCAGCUCAGACUCACCUCUCCGCGGACACAAGAGAGCUCCAAUCCUGGGUUGUUCUCACAGAGCCAUCUUCACCAUUCUGUUUGUUCUAAGGCUUAUGCCUUAAAUCACCCACUGUCAUUUAGUGGAGUGGAACUCAAGUACUAUCUUUUCUUUAUCCAUUCGUGUGUUUAUGGACACUUAGGUUGGUUCCAAGUCUUAGCUAUUGUGAACAGUGCUGCAAUAAACAUGGGAGUCCAGAUAUCUCUUUGGUAUAUUGACUUCCUUUCUUUUUGGGUAUAUGCGCAGCAGUGGGAUUGCUGGAUCAUAUAAUAGCUUUAUUUUCAGUUUCUUUGAGGAAUCUCCAAACUGUUCUGCAUAGUAUUUGUACUAAUUUACAUCCCCACCAACAGUGUACAAGGGUUUCCUUUUCUCCAAAUCCUUGACAGCAUUUAUUACUGCCUGUCAUUUGGAUAAAAGCCAUAUUAACUGGAGUGAAAUGAUAGCUCAUUCCAGACUUAAAAAAAUUUUUUUUUGUCACCUAGGCAGGAAUACAGUGACGCAAUCUCUGCUCAUGGCAAUCUCUGUCUCCCAGGUUCAAGCGGUUCUACCGAACACUGUUUCAAGAAGGACCUCAAAGGUGUCCAUGUGCUUAAAAAGGGGCACGGCAUAUGUGUCUCUGGUCCUACCAGGGCCAGCCUGCUGCCAUGGUUGGAGAUGCCAGUUGAUACAUCUAAAGCCAGAUCUGACCUUCUCACUUUCUUACUUAAAACCAUCAACAAUAUUUAUUUCUGUAAAGCCAGGAUGUAACUUCAACUGUCUUCACAGCCAGGCUUUCAUUUGGUCUCUUUUUGAAUCAGAAGACCCAGAAAACUUGGAUCCACUUCUGGCUCUGAUCCUUCUUGGCAGCAUGAUUUGGAACAAGAGUGCUGACACGAAGUGCCAGAAGCCAUGCUUGCUGGGAUUGAGAAUAUCGUAUUUAUGGUUUGAGCGCCUGAUGGUGUGA